Molecule: ribosomal RNA, 253 nt
Filed under: uncultured bacterium
Lineage: Bacteria
Description: partial 16S ribosomal RNA
Rfam family: Bacterial small subunit ribosomal RNA
Source: RNAcentral
UACGUAGGGUGCAAGCGUUGUCCGGAAUUAUUGGGCGUAAAGAGCUCGUAGGCGGUCUGUCGCGUCGGCUGUGAAAACCCGGAGCUCAACUCCGGGCCUGCAGUCGAUACGGGCAGACUGGAGUUCGGCAGGGGAGACUGGAAUUCCUGGUGUAGCAGUGAAAUGCGUAGAUAUCAAGAGGAACACCAGUGGCGAAGGCGAGUCCCUGGACGAUACCUGACACUGAGGCACGAAAGCCAAGGGAGCAAACAGG